GUAGCCCAGUGUUAGAGCAUCUGUGCUAAAUGCAGAAGGUCUUGGGUUCAACUCCCGGCAUCUACA
Molecule: non-coding RNA, 66 nt
Organism: Podarcis lilfordi (Lilford's wall lizard)
Lineage: Eukaryota; Metazoa; Chordata; Lepidosauria; Squamata; Lacertidae
Source: the annotation of a GenBank genome assembly